Cinara cedri is the source of this 366-nucleotide non-coding RNA. NCBI's taxonomy places the organism in Eukaryota, Metazoa, Arthropoda, Insecta, Hemiptera, Aphididae. The record is from the annotation of a GenBank genome assembly.
CAAAAUCAUCUUAUUUUUUUUCUUAAUGAGCGCUUUGAAAUCAAAUGAAAACGAAAAUCGCAAAAAAAUUACGACCCUUCAAAUUGUGUAUUGCAAAACUAAUCGGAAUCGUCUUCCGUCUAGUAAUGAUUUAUCGUUGCUUACAGAUAAAAAUGAAAUAACCAUAUAUAUCUUACCUUCCUAACUUCUCACCAACAACAGUGGACGCGCUUCCAUCCCCUGUAUCAGCUCUUUUUUUACUUAUCGGACUUUUAGCAUACAAUUUUUAUUUUUAAGUGGUGGUUUCGAUUUUAGUUGUUGCCGUAAAGCUCUUUAUGUGAUUGAGAUCCCACAAUCUACAAUAUUUUGCCAUGGGCAUUAUAAUAU